Molecule: ribosomal RNA, 476 nt
Filed under: uncultured bacterium
Lineage: Bacteria
Description: bacterial SSU rRNA
Rfam family: Bacterial small subunit ribosomal RNA
Source: RNAcentral
AUACAAGUACGAACGAAGGAGUAUGCCACGAGGAGGAGCUUCGGCAGGAAUCAGGCAUAUUCGAGUGGCGGACGGGUGAGUAACGCGUGAGCAACCUGUCCCAGACAGGGGGAUAACACUUGGAAACAGGUGCUAAUACCGCAUAAGACCACGGUACCACAUGGUAUUGGGGUAAAAGGAGCAAUCCGGUUUGGGGUGGGCUCGCGUCCGAUUAGAUAGUUGGUGAGGUAACGGCCCACCAAGUCGACGAUCGGUAGCCGACCUGAGAGGGUGAUCGGCCACAUUGGAACUGAGAGACGGUCCAAACUCCUACGGGAGGCAGCAGUGGGGAAUAUUGGGCAAUGGGCGAAAGCCUGAACCCCAGCAACGCCGCGUGAGUGAAGAAGGCCUUCGGGUUGUAAAGCUCUGUUAUAGUUGACGAAGGAAGUGACGGUAGGCUAUAAGGAAGCCCCGGCUAACUACGUGCCAGCAGCCGC